GGUCCAGAUUUUGAGGCCAUAGCAGAAGCACACAUGGUGCAUCCCUGUCAGAUUCCAGUGAAUCUGCAAAUUCUGCU
RNAcentral lists this ribozyme (77 nucleotides) under Crocodylus porosus (Australian saltwater crocodile). RNAcentral's name for it is "Mammalian CPEB3 ribozyme (ENSCPRG00005015257.1)". It matches the Rfam family "Mammalian CPEB3 ribozyme". Rfam says of the family: The mammalian CPEB3 ribozyme is a self cleaving RNA located in the second intron of the CPEB3 gene which belongs to a family of genes regulating messenger RNA polyadenylation. The record is from Rfam by way of RNAcentral. Lineage: Eukaryota; Metazoa; Chordata; Crocodylia; Crocodylidae.